This 410-nucleotide unclassified non-coding RNA is filed under the name fungal sp. RNAcentral describes it as "partial internal transcribed spacer region". The stretch from base 1 to 46 matches the Rfam family "Eukaryotic small subunit ribosomal RNA", at positions 1786 to 1831 of the family's 1831-position model. Lineage: Eukaryota; Fungi. The record is from RNAcentral.
AAGUCGUAACAAGGUUUCCGUAGGUGAACCUGCGGAAGGAUCAUUAACACGUAUCCAACGUUAAAACCCCUGUGAACUUUCAGCCUGCUCUUGUGGCCCGAAUCAAAACUGUUCCUCCCACUUGAUUUACCGGAAUUGCUGCUUCACACGGAACCUCUGCUCCAUAUGCGCACGCUGCAAUUGAGCGGUAGAAGCAGUGGCAUGGCGUCCCCAAGCCUCCAGUGAAUGAAAGUGUCACUGGAAAGUGUAAGGAUAACGCUUCUCGGUUGCUAGAGGUCGAUCACCGACCGGCAGACAUGCCACAGGGUCACCGCGCCCCUAAUCACUCCCUCUGAACCGUACGCCGGCGCCGUUGAAAAGCUGCGCUAAAAAAAACCGAACAACUGUUAACAAUGGAUAUCUUGGUUCUC